UGCAUAUCAAUAAGCGGAGGAAAAGAAACUAACAAGGAUUCCCCUAGUAACUGCGAGUGAAGCGGGAAGAGCUCAAAUUUGAAAUCUGGCGGUUCCGCCGCCCGAGUUGUAAUCUGGAGAAGCGUUUUCCGUGCCGGACCGUGUACAAGUCCCUUGGAACAGGGCGUCAUAGAGGGUGAGAAUCCCGUCUUUGACACGGACUCCCGGUGCUCUGCGAUGCGCUCUCGAAGAGUCGAGUUGUUUGGGAAUGCAGCUCAAAAUGGGUGGUAAAUUCCAUCUAAAGCUAAAUAUUGGCGAGAGACCGAUAGCGAACAAGUACCGUGAGGGAAAGAUGAAAAGCACUUUGGAAAGAGAGUAAAACAGUACGUGAAAUUGUUGAAAGGGAAACGCUUGAAGUCAGUCGCGUCUUCUGGGACUCAGCCUUGCUUCUGCUCGGCGCACUUCCCAGUUUGACGGGUCAGCAUCGGCUCUGGGGGGCGGACAAAUGCGUGGGGAAGGUGGCAGCUCCGGCUGUGUUAUAGCCCCGCGCUACGCGUCCCCCGGGACCGAGGAAUCCGGCGCUCGCGCCUGGGAUGCUGGCGUAAUGGCUUUAAACGACCCGUCUUGAACCACGGACC
RNAcentral lists this ribosomal RNA (617 nucleotides) under Subulicystidium meridense. RNAcentral describes it as "LSU rRNA". It matches the Rfam family "Eukaryotic large subunit ribosomal RNA", at positions 37 to 667 of the family's 3401-position model. Lineage: Eukaryota; Fungi; Basidiomycota; Agaricomycetes; Trechisporales; Hydnodontaceae. The record is from RNAcentral.